AGUGAACGCUGGCGGUAGGCCUAACACAUGCAAGUCGAACGGCAGCACAGUAAGAGCUUGCUCUUACGGGUGGCGAGUGGCGGACGGGUGAGGAAUACAUCGGAAUCUACUUUUUCGUGGGGGAUAACGUAGGGAAACUUACGCUAAUACAGCAUACGACCUACGGGUGAAAGCAGGGGAUCUUCGGACCUUGCGCGAUUGAAUGAGCCGAUGUCGGAUUAGCUAGUUGGCGGGGUAAAGGCCCACCAAGGCGACGAUCCGUAGCUGGUCUGAGAGGAUGAUCAGCCACACUGGAACUGAGACACGGUCCAGACUCCUACGGGAGGCAGCAGUGGGGAAUAUUGGACAGUGGGGGAAAGCCUGAUCCAGCCAUACCGCGUGGGUGAAGAAGGCCUUCGGGUUGUAAAGCCCUUUUGUUGGGAAAGAAAAGCAGCAGGUUAAUACCCCGCUGUUCUGACGGUACCCAAAGAAUAAGCACCGGCUAACUUCGUG
Molecule: ribosomal RNA, 492 nt
Filed under: uncultured bacterium
Lineage: Bacteria
Description: partial 16S ribosomal RNA
Rfam family: Bacterial small subunit ribosomal RNA
Source: RNAcentral